RNAcentral lists this ribosomal RNA (487 nucleotides) under uncultured bacterium. RNAcentral's name for it is "partial 16S ribosomal RNA". The record is from RNAcentral.
GUAGUUAGCCGGGGCUUUCUAAUGGGGUACCGUCACUUCCUUCGUCCCCCACAACAGAGGUUUACAAUCCGAAAACCUUCUUCCCUCACGCGGCGUUGCUGGGUCAGGCUUUCGCCCAUUGCCCAAUAUUCCCCACUGCUGCCUCCCGUAGGAGUCUGGACCGUGUCUCAGUUCCAGUGUGGCCGUUCAGCCUCUCAGCUCGGCUACCCAUCGUCGGCUUGGUGGGCUGUUAUCUCACCAACUACCUAAUGGGACGCGAACCCCUCCUUCAGCGGAUUGCUCCUUUGACCUCUUCGCCAUGCGGCAUUGUGGUCUUAUGCGGUAUUAGCACUUGUUUCCAGGUGUUAUCCCCCUNUCGAAGGUCAGGUUGUUCACGCGUUACUCACCCGUGCGCCACUAAGAUAUAAACCGAAAUCUAUAUCUCCGUUCGACUUGCAUGUGUUAGGCACGCCGCCAGCGUUCGUCCUGAGCCAUGAUCAAACUCUGA